Chelonus insularis is the source of this 2042-nucleotide long non-coding RNA. RefSeq lists it as uncharacterized. Lineage: Eukaryota; Metazoa; Arthropoda; Insecta; Hymenoptera; Braconidae. The transcript has 4 exons. The record is from RefSeq and is a predicted model, not a curated record.
UGUCAUUGUGGAAUACGAGCUUUACAAACGGACGAAAGUCCCACCGACCGGAAAUAAUAUAAACGGUCGAUGCAGACAUCGCCCGGACGCAUAGUUCGUACAUCUUAUCAAUUACAUUCAAUGCAUUUGAUGCACAGUAGUUAACAAAGUGAGAAUAUCAAUACCUUCAGAUAAUUCAUAUCUCAUAAUUCAACUCAGUCCAUGUAAAAGUAGAGUAUUUUAUUCAGACAGUGUUAUUAGAUGUUCAUCAACUUCCAGGUGUUAAAAAAAAUAACUAAAAAUUUUAGUUUUGUGAUGAAGAGAUCAAAUCAGUUAUCAACAUUGAGUUAAUACUAAAAAGAUCCUCUUUACGAUUACGAACACUUAAAAAAGCUGAAUUUAAAUUUAAAUUGUUUGAAAUGAAAAAAAAAAUCGAAUGAAAAUAAUGAAUAAAUAUAAAUAAAUAUAAUAAAUAUAUUAUAAAAGUUGCAAAAUUCCGCUUACUAUACGAUUCAAUGCCAAAGUGAUAAGAAAAAGUAAUUCAUCGUAUUUCAGAAGAAGAAAAUAAAGGAUGAAUUCCACGAAAUUGAGGAAGUUGAGAAGCUCUUAGAAAUAACACGUUUUAAAUUUAAAAUUUAAAUGAUUAAACCUGUCGCUAUUUUUCAACUGCGAAAUGAUAACGGAAUUGUUAUGCUGUCUGGAUAAAUAUAAUCAAUCUUUGGCAAUCAAAUGGAAGACAAGGAUGUAAAGUUGACUAUAAGGAUUGUGAAGAAGCUUAGAAGCUUCUCGGGUGGCCGGUUUCGCCGGUUUCCGCGUUCCAGACCAACGCACGCCGGUUCUCGCGCAUGACCGAAGAGAACGUUCGUCAGGAUAACGGCCGGGGAUUCCCCAUGAACUUGUCGAUAGGCUAGUGUCCAAGCUGUUGAUUUGUGAAUCAACAGGUGUAAGGAAUUUUCUGAGGUGGUCCAGAGAGAGAACCGGAACUCGCAAGUGGGUCACUGUCAAACGGCGUCCUCGAGGCAUGCAAUCACGUUGCGAUUACGUUUAUUUGUUAAGUGAAAGAAAUUUUUUUAGGAAGUUACUCCGUAAAGAAAGGAUGCUAGAAAAAAAGCAGAAACAAUGAAUUUUCAUAAACAAGUAAGAGACGAGAGAUGUUUAAGUUCAACUAUUUGUUGAAUAAUUUAUUAUAAAGAUAAAUGUUUAAUGAAAAAGACAAAUUGAAUGUUAGUUUGAACUGAGCGCGACAAGAGACCUGUAAGAACUGAUGGGACUUGGAGGGGCCUGACGUGCCACUGCUGAGAUUCCACAGCUCUUUCCUCCUACUCGACCACUUACGGCAGCCGGUUGCGUGGCUCAAAGAGAGAGAGGAUCUCCUUCUCCGUCGGUCCUCGCGCCUCGCCCUACCGUUCAUACACCUCAUCAUCAUCAUUAUCAUCGUCAACCGGGUUGAAGAGUGUUGGCGACUUUGAUGACCAUUCAAUGACGUCAUCAAGCAUUUGUUUUUAUAACUCUGAAAUCAACUCGUCUCACCUCAAUUCACGAUUCUGAAACUAUUUGCAUUUUUCAUGGUUCUAUCAUCAUUGUUGUUACCAUUAUUACUAUCAUCAAUAACAUUGAAUGAAGUAUAUUUGUCAUCUAUUGGUUGACGUCAUCGUUUGACGUUUUAGGAGUGUCCAGACGAGUGUCACGAGGAUACGCAGCGCUCCCAUUCACAUCAAUUUACGACUAAGAAAGAACCUGACGCAGUCUUAUAAUAAUUAGCUUGUAUGCUACCUUGUUUCACUCCUCUGCUUAUGGCUUGAUUCUUUACGCACGCAUAGCCGAGACUCGAACUGAACAUUCUCCCAUUGAUUCACUUACAAAGCGUCCAAAGCAUGUAAAACACCGGCUUGUGGCUGAGAAAAAGAAUGAAGGCGAUAAAAAGAAUGGAGUUGGCGUAUGUGUGGGUAUUAAAUAGCCGAUAAUUAUUUCUUAUAUCUAGUCUGCAAAUCUUAUGAUAAGGAUGACCGAUAAAAAUUUUUGUCCAGUUAUGUAUAAACUUCACUGUUUAUUUAAAAUUACAA